Long non-coding RNA from Mastomys coucha (southern multimammate mouse), 1368 nucleotides. RefSeq lists it as uncharacterized. Lineage: Eukaryota; Metazoa; Chordata; Mammalia; Rodentia; Muridae. The transcript is spliced from 3 exons. The record is from RefSeq and is a predicted model, not a curated record.
UUCCUGCCAUGAUGAUAAUGGACUGAACCUCAGAAUCUGUGAAUAGUUUACUGCCUCUGGUUCCCAGCAUACCAUCUGGCAACCCUAUGAACGGUUUGAAAACAUCCAGUUUACCUGCUCAUAAUCUGAAACCUCUAAAACUGUGGGCUCAAUAUCUUGUAGUUUUCAGUGCCUUGCUUAAGAACACUGUUUCUGAUGGUAUUAUACAUCAUAUCUAAAAUCAACAAUUCUAUGUCAAGGUCAAAGGACUGUAACUUCUGUUCUUAUCGCAUUUAAAGAAGACUUCUACUGAUGUGGAGACCAUCUGUGGGUAUUAAAUGGAGCGCCUGCCUAAGGAAUUAUGGAACACGUCUGCCAGAGAUCUGAACAGAUAAUUUUAGAGGCCAUUCAGCUGUCUUGGACAAGCAGGUAAAUUCUUGAAGUUGCUGGAGAAUAAGACCCACAGAUCAACUACUUGAUGAACCCGACUGCACUGCUAUUCCACAAAAUUAAUGACCAACUACAGCACCUGCCUAAAUUCAGGCCUGGUGAAAGUUCAGUCCCUGGGACCUACAGAGUGGAAAAAGAGGACUAGUGUUGAUUGUCAGCUGAUAUGUGCUGUGGUGCAUGCAUGCCCAUACAUACAACCACACAUAAACCAACAAUAAAUGUGACCUUAAAACACUAAAGUCAUACAUUUGAGUAGGGUUCCAAAGACUGCUGAAGCAGAAUUAAAUCAUCCUAUUUACUAUUUAUAUGUGGUAUUUUAUCCACCACAUUGCUUGCUCAUUUUAAACCACCCAAGAGGCUAUUAAGAUUCAUUGUGACAGAAUUCUUUGAUGCUAAAUAUUCUACAUUAUUUAUCAUGCUCAUGAAUGAUUUACAGCUGAAAUGUCAGCAUUCUAAAUAAUUUAUGUAAUUUUUAAAGUAGAUGGGUUAAAAUGAAAUCUCACCAGAACAAAAGAAAUACAGAUUGUGUUUUCCUAAGUUCUCCGAUAUUUAAAAAACAAUAAGUAGAUAUUGCAGUUGUUUUCAGGCUAACCUGUGGAUUACAGUUCUAGUAUUUACUAGUAAUUAUUACUAACUAUACUGAGUAGAGAUUUUUAAAUUUUAAUACCUCAUUAUGAAAAGAACUCAAGUAACUAAGACAUUGAGGAGAAAAGUAUUCAAAAUUAAAACUAUUUAUAAUGCCAGCUCAGCACAGUGGCUCAGUGGGUAAAGACACUAAGUCCAGUGGCCAAGUACAAAACCUGGAAAUCACACGGUGGGAAGUGAGAGCUGGUUCUCAUCUUCUGAUUUCUAAAGACACACACACACACACACACACACACACACACACACACGCACACGCACGCGCACGCGCACGCGCACGCACACGCACACGCACAC